RNAcentral lists this ribosomal RNA (1418 nucleotides) under bacterium KR 1996/1_182. RNAcentral's name for it is "bacterial SSU rRNA". It matches the Rfam family "Bacterial small subunit ribosomal RNA". The record is from RNAcentral.
AGUCGAGCGAACAGACAAGGAGCUUGCUCCUUUGACGUUAGCGGCGGACGGGUGAGUAACACGUGGGUAACCUACCUAUAAGACUGGGAUAACUUCGGGAAACCGGAGCUAAUACCGGAUAAUAUUUCGAACCGCAUGGUUCGAUAGUGAAAGAUGGUUUUGCUAUCACUUAUAGAUGGACCCGCGCCGUAUUAGCUAGUUGGUAAGGUAACGGCUUACCAAGGCGACGAUACGUAGCCGACCUGAGAGGGUGAUCGGCCACACUGGAACUGAGACACGGUCCAGACUCCUACGGGAGGCAGCAGUAGGGAAUCUUCCGCAAUGGGCGAAAGCCUGACGGAGCAACGCCGCGUGAGUGAUGAAGGUCUUCGGAUCGUAAAACUCUGUUAUUAGGGAAGAACAUACGUGUAAGUAACUAUGCACGUCUUGACGGUACCUAAUCAGAAAGCCACGGCUAACUACGUGCCAGCAGCCGCGGUAAUACGUAGGUGGCAAGCGUUAUCCGGAAUUAUUGGGCGUAAAGCGCGCGUAGGCGGUUUUUUAAGUCUGAUGUGAAAGCCCACGGCUCAACCGUGGAGGGUCAUUGGAAACUGGAAAACUUGAGUGCAGAAGAGGAAAGUGGAAUUCCAUGUGUAGCGGUGAAAUGCGCAGAGAUAUGGAGGAACACCAGUGGCGAAGGCGACUUUCUGGUCUGUAACUGACGCUGAUGUGCGAAAGCGUGGGGAUCAAACAGGAUUAGAUACCCUGGUAGUCCACGCCGUAAACGAUGAGUGCUAAGUGUUAGGGGGUUUCCGCCCCUUAGUGCUGCAGCUAACGCAUUAAGCACUCCGCCUGGGGAGUACGACCGCAAGGUUGAAACUCAAAGGAAUUGACGGGGACCCGCACAAGCGGUGGAGCAUGUGGUUUAAUUCGAAGCAACGCGAAGAACCUUACCAAAUCUUGACAUCCUUUGACAACUCUAGAGAUAGAGCCUUCCCCUUCGGGGGACAAAGUGACAGGUGGUGCAUGGUUGUCGUCAGCUCGUGUCGUGAGAUGUUGGGUUAAGUCCCGCAACGAGCGCAACCCUUAAGCUUAGUUGCCAUCAUUAAGUUGGGCACUCUAAGUUGACUGCCGGUGACAAACCGGAGGAAGGUGGGGAUGACGUCAAAUCAUCAUGCCCCUUAUGAUUUGGGCUACACACGUGCUACAAUGGACAAUACAAAGGGCAGCGAAACCGCGAGGUCAAGCAAAUCCCAUAAAGUUGUUCUCAGUUCGGAUUGUAGUCUGCAACUCGACUACAUGAAGCUGGAAUCGCUAGUAAUCGUAGAUCAGCAUGCUUCGGUGAAUACGUUCCCGGGUCUUGUACACACCGCCCGCCACACCACGAGAGUUUGUAACACCCGAAGCCGGUGGAGUAACCAUUUGGAGCUAGCCGUCGA